CCCUUAGAGUUUGAUCCUGGCUCAGGACGAACGCUGGCGGCGCGCUUAACACAUGCAAGUCGAGCGAGAACCAGUCCUUCGGGGCUGGGGACAGCGGCGAACGGGUGAGUAACACGUGGGUAAUCUGCCCUCGGCACCGGAAUAGCCCGGGGAAACCCGGAUUAAUGCCGGAUGGCCUCUCUGCCCUUCGGGGCGGUGAGAAAAGGUAGCUUCGGCCUCCGGCCGAGGAUGAGCCCGCGGCCGAUUAGCUUGUUGGUGAGGUAACGGCUCACCAAGGCGACGAUCGGUAGCUGGUCUGAGAGGACGAUCAGCCACACUGGGACUGAGACACGGCCCAGACUCCUACGGGAGGCAGCAGUGGGGAAUCUUGCGCAAUGGGCGAAAGCCUGACGCAGCGACGCCGCGUGCGGGAAGAAGGCCUUCGGGUUGUAAACCGCUUUCAGGAGGGACGAAGCCACUCGGGUUAAUAGCCUAGAGGGUGACGGUACCUCCAGAAGAAGCCCCGGCUAACUACGUGCCAGCAGCCGCGGUAAUACGUAGGGGGCUAGCGUUGUCCGGAUUUAUUGGGCGUAAAGAGCGUGUAGGCGGCCAGGUAAGUCUGGUGUGAAAACUCGAGGCUUAACCUCGAGAUGUCAUCGGAAACUAUCUGGCUAGAGUCCGGAAGAGGAAAGUGGAAUUCCUGGGUGUAGCGGUGAAAUGCGCAGAUAUCAGAAGAACACAAUGGCGAAAGCAGCUUUCUGGGACGUACUGACGCUGAGACGCGAAAGCGUGGGGAGCGACAGAUAGAUACCCUGGUAGUCACGCGUA
RNAcentral lists this ribosomal RNA (807 nucleotides) under uncultured bacterium. Its description in RNAcentral is "bacterial SSU rRNA". It matches the Rfam family "Bacterial small subunit ribosomal RNA", at positions 1 to 803 of the family's 1533-position model. The record is from RNAcentral.